UACAGAGGGUGCGAGCGUUAAUCGGAAUUACUGGGCGUAAAGCGUGCGUAGACGGUCAUGUAAGUCGGAUGUGAAAGCCCCGGGCUCAACCUGGGAAUUGCAUUCGAGACUGCAUGGCUUGGGUGCGGAAGAGGGAAGCGGAAUUUCCGGUGUAGCGGUGAAAUGCGUAGAUAUCUGGAGGAACACCGGUGGCGAAGGCGGCAUCCUGGACCAACACUGACGCUGAUGAGCGAAAGCCAGGGGAGCAAACGGG
Molecule: ribosomal RNA, 253 nt
Filed under: uncultured bacterium
Lineage: Bacteria
Description: partial 16S ribosomal RNA
Rfam family: Bacterial small subunit ribosomal RNA
Source: RNAcentral